CCGAAUGAGCUGCACCUUUCUUGUAGUAGACCAUUCAAUAGUCUGCCAUCAGGAUUCGAUGGGAACGUCGGAUGCUGUUGUGGGGUGGGGCCUUUGGUCUCCUAUGUCUUCUUUUAUUCACCACACAAAAACCUGUCAUCGUAUGGUGUUGUGCUUGAACACACAUAAUA
Molecule: unclassified non-coding RNA, 170 nt
Filed under: uncultured fungus
Lineage: Eukaryota; Fungi
Description: sequence contains ITS1
Source: RNAcentral